This 1170-nucleotide ribosomal RNA is filed under the name uncultured Nanohalarchaeota archaeon. RNAcentral describes it as "bacterial SSU rRNA". It matches the Rfam family "Archaeal small subunit ribosomal RNA", at positions 1 to 1173 of the family's 1478-position model. Lineage: Archaea; Nanobdellati; Candidatus Nanohalarchaeota. The record is from RNAcentral.
UUCCGGUUGAUCCUGCCGGAGACUACCGCUAUCGGAGUCCGAUUUAGCCAUGCUAGUCCACCGAUUCGUUCGGGGCAUAUAGCUGAGUAACACGUGGCUAACCUGCCCUGUGGAUGGGAAUAACCUCGCUAACGUGAGGCUAAGACCCAAUAUCAGAUGGGAAUGGAGUUUUUUCAUCUGUGAAACGUUCCGACGCCACAGGAUGGGGCCGCGGCUGAUUAGGUUGUUGGUGAGGUAACGGCUCACCAAGCCGAUAAUCAGUAGCAGGGGUGAGAGCCCGGGCUGUCAGUCGGCAUCUGAGACAAGAUGCCGGACCCUACGGGGUGCAGCAGGCACGAAACCUUCACAAUGCACGCAAGUGCGAUGGGGGGACUCCGAGUGCGGUCUUCCAAAACGGAAGGCCGCUUUUCUGCACUGUAAGGAGGUGCCGGAACAAGGGGUGGGCAAGACGGCUGCCAGCCGCCGCGGUAAUAGCCGCACCCCAAGUGGUAGUCAUUGUUAUUGGGCUUAAAGUGUUCGUAGCCGGACGCGUAAGUCCGCUGUGAAAUCCAUGCGCUUAACGUAUGGACAUGCAGCGGAUACUGCGUGUCUAGGAACCGGACGGCGUCGAGGCUAUUCCCGGGGUAGGGGUGAAAUCCUAAAAUCCCGGGAGGAGCACCUGUGGCGGAAGCGCUCGACGAGUACGGAUUCGACGGUGAGGAACGAAAGCCAGGGGAGCAAAGCGGAUUAGAUACCCGCGUAGUCCUGGCCGUAAACAUUGUGCGUUUGAUGUCGGACAACCUCCGAGGUUGUCCGGUGCCGAAGUGAAAACGUUAAACGCACCGCCUGGGGAGUACGGUCGCAAGGCUGAAACUUAAAGGAAUUGACGGGGGAGCACCACAACCGGUGGAGGCUGCGGUUUAAUUAGAUCCAACGCAGAGCACUCUACCAGAGCCGACAGCAGAAUGAAGGUCAGCUUGAAGAGCUUACCUGACGCGCUGAAAAGAACUGCAUGGCCGCCGUCAGCUCGUGCCGUGAGGUGUCCGGUUAAGUCCGGUAACGAGCGAGACCCCCAUCCGAUGUUGCCAUGGAUCCGUUCGCGGAUUCGGCACUCGUCGGAGACCGCUGGUGAUAAACCAGGGGAAGGUGUGGGCCACGGUAGGUCAGUAUGGCCCGAAUGCUCUGGGAUAC